RNAcentral lists this ribosomal RNA (832 nucleotides) under uncultured bacterium. RNAcentral describes it as "bacterial SSU rRNA". It matches the Rfam family "Bacterial small subunit ribosomal RNA", at positions 59 to 904 of the family's 1533-position model. The record is from RNAcentral.
CAGUCGAACGAGAGAGAAGGAGCUUGCUUCUUCGAUCGAGUGGCGAACGGGUGAGUAACGCGUGAGGAACCUGCCUCAAAGAGGGGGACAACAGUUGGAAACGACUGCUAAUACCGCAUAAGCCCACGGGUCGGCAUCGCCCUGAGGGAAAAGGAGUGAUCCGCUUUGAGAUGGCCUCGCGUCCGAUUAGCUAGUUGGUGAGGUAACGGCCCACCAAGGCGACGAUCGGUAGCCGGACUGAGAGGUUGAACGGCCACAUUGGGACUGAGACACGGCCCAGACUCCUACGGGAGGCAGCAGUGGGGAAUAUUGCACAAUGGGGGAAACCCUGAUGCAGCGACGCCGCGUGGAGGAAGAAGGUCUUCGGAUUGUAAACUCCUGUUGUUGAGGAAGAUAAUGACGGUACUCAACAAGGAAGUGACGGCUAACUACGUGCCAGCAGCCGCGGUAAAACGUAGGUCACAAGCGUUGUCCGGAAUUACUGGGUGUAAAGGGAGCGCAGGCGGGAAGACAAGUUGGAAGUGAAAUCUAUGGGCUCAACCCAUAAACUGCUUUCAAAACUGUUUUUCUUGAGUAGUGCAGAGGUAGGCGGAAUUCCCGGUGUAGCGGUGGAAUGCGUAGAUAUCGGGAGGAACACCAGUGGCGAAGGCGGCCUACUGGGCACCAACUGACGCUGAGGCUCGAAAGUGUGGGUAGCAAACAGGAUUAGAUACCCUGGUAGUCCACACCGUAAACGAUGAUUACUAGGUGUUGGAGGAUUGACCCCUUCAGUGCCGCAGUUAACACAAUAAGUAAUCCACCUGGGGAGUACGACCGCAAGGUUGAAACUCAA